GUUCCCACCCAGCUUCUGGGGCUUCUUCUUCUCUGCCUCCUAGGUUCUGUAUGUGACAUCAUGAAGAUGCAGUCUCCAACCUCCCCAUCUAAAUCUCAAGGAGACAUGGUCACCAUCACUUCUAGGGCAAGUGAAAAUGUUAAUAAUUGGUUUUCUGCUGUAAACAGAAGCCAAGGUAGCCUGGACUUCAUCUCCUUGGUUUCCCUCCAGUCACAGAAGACAUUUUAUUUGUUCAAAGUCAGUCCACACCCAUCCACUCCAUUGGUUCUUUCCUCCCAGCUGCACCAACCAGGGCAUUUGCAUGCUGCUCCCUGGGGAUGACCUUCCACAAGGCUGACAUCAAAGUUCAGUUCUAACCUGCCCUUGACUCUCCAGGACUCCUCUGCUCAGCUUCUCAAAAUGAGGCUUCCUGCUCAGCUCC
RNAcentral lists this long non-coding RNA (421 nucleotides) under Ictidomys tridecemlineatus (thirteen-lined ground squirrel). Its description in RNAcentral is "lncRNA (ENSSTOG00000033963.1)". The record is from RNAcentral. Lineage: Eukaryota; Metazoa; Chordata; Mammalia; Rodentia; Sciuridae.